Molecule: long non-coding RNA, 1178 nt
Organism: Triplophysa rosa
Lineage: Eukaryota; Metazoa; Chordata; Actinopteri; Cypriniformes; Nemacheilidae
Exons: 2
Source: RefSeq, a predicted model, not a curated record
UGUGUGUGUCUGUGUGUGUGAACUCAUCCCUUACAUAUCUGCUCUUUCCCUCUUCCUCUGGAUAUAUAUACAUAUAUGCCUCUGUGUUUAUAUAUGUAUAUUUGCAUUUCCAGCAUUUCUUUUUUCAAUUCUAUAUUUUUAAAGGGGCGUGCACUGUCUGGUGGAUUUUUGCAGGCUGAUAUAGCUUAUGCCCCCUCUACCCCACCCCCAGAACAUCACUCUGCAACCCUGCUCUCCAGCCCCAGGAAAGGAGCUUCAUCUUGGGUUGAAAGCUUUGGCGAGACCCCUGUUCAUCCUCGGAUGGAGAAUACCAAGAACUGAUGGAACCUUAACCGGAUAUAUGCUUGUCUACGGGAGUGUUUUCUCCAGUAGAGCGAGAAUGCAAGAAAAAGCCAGAAUUUUGAGCUCAUUAGUUUUGAAGAAAUAGAUGGUGCUUUGGGUAAUUUUUGUGGCUUGUAACAAAUGUGUUGGAAUGUAAUGACAUUUUUAUUUGUUUACAUGUACGUUUUUAGUUAUCUGUAAUGUAUGCAUUUAUUUUGAAUGUCAUCGUUGGCUUCAUCUCUUGUGAUGUGAUUUUUACCCAUACUUGUUUUUACUUGCGGUAUAGGUGCAUGUAUGCUGUGAGAGAGGAUGAGAAAUAAAAAAUAUAAACAGAGAGAGAAAGAGGUGGGGGACAAGAAAAUAAGGAGAGAGGGAGAGAGAGAGAGAGAGAGAGAGAGAGCGAGAGAGAGAGAGAGAGAGAGAGAGAACAGACUGUCAUAGGGAAGUACUAGCUUUACAUUGCGAUGCUGGCAGGCAUCUCAUAAUGGCGGUGGAUGUGCUGCUGAAUGUGCGAGAAGGGAGAGCAGUGCAUAGCUUUGCAUCUUCACACAUCUCCCACAAACAGCAUUGCUGGUCGUCUUUGUUUGGCCGAGAGGCAAGGUCUACUGGAAAGAAACACAAGGCAGGUGCCAGGGCUUCUUGCAGAAUGAUACAACAAAAGGUAGAUCCUCUUUAUCUCUCUCUCUUUCUCUGUCCCUCAUGUAACGUCUCAGGUCAUGUAUUCGCUACAGAGUGUAGUCAGCAUUGUUGAUUUCACCGGCGAAGGCUGUAAAUGUAUUUCAGUGGGACGAGAUGAAAUGCUAUUUUGUAUGUGUAAGUGUUAAAUAUGAGCACUGAAGAAAAACACUGGUCUGGUC